Molecule: ribosomal RNA, 440 nt
Filed under: uncultured bacterium
Lineage: Bacteria
Description: partial 16S ribosomal RNA
Rfam family: Bacterial small subunit ribosomal RNA
Source: RNAcentral
CCUACGGGGUGCAGCAGUGGGGGAUAUUGCACAAUGGGGGAAACCCUGAUGCAGCGACGCCGCGUGUGGGAAGACGGUCCUCUGGAUUGUAAACCACUGUCCCCAGGGACGAAGAUGACGGUACCUGGGGAGGAAGCUCCGGCUAACUACGUGCCCGCAGCCGCGGUAAUACGUAGGGAGCGAGCGUUGUCCGUAAUUACUGGGUGUAAAGGGAGCGUAGGCGGGGAUGCAAGUUGGGUGUCAAAACUACCGGCUCAACUGGUAGUCGCACUCAAAACUGCAGCUAGUGAGUGAAGUAGAGGCAGGCGGAAUUCCUAGUGUAGCGGUGAAAUGCGUAGAUAUUAGGAGGAACACCAGUGGCGAAGGCGGCCUGCUGGGCUUUUACUGACGCUGAGGCUCGAAAGUGUGGGGAGCAAACAGGAUUAGAUACCCUUGUAGUC